This 74-nucleotide transfer RNA is filed under the name Ignavibacteria bacterium. Its description in RNAcentral is "tRNA-Arg". It matches the Rfam family "tRNA". Rfam says of the family: Transfer RNA (tRNA) molecules are approximately 80 nucleotides in length. Their secondary structure includes four short double-helical elements and three loops (D, anti-codon, and T loops). Lineage: Bacteria; Pseudomonadati; Ignavibacteriota; Ignavibacteria. The record is from RNAcentral.
GCGCCCGUAGCUCAACAGGAAAGAGCAUCAGCCUUCUAAGCUGAGGGUUGGGCGUUCGAGUCGCCCCGGGCGCG